RNA transcript from Hemibagrus wyckioides, 4882 nucleotides. It is a transcript of the gene named prominin 1 b, with no coding region annotated. The record is from RefSeq and is a predicted model, not a curated record. The transcript is spliced from 28 exons. NCBI's taxonomy places the organism in Eukaryota, Metazoa, Chordata, Actinopteri, Siluriformes, Bagridae.
GUGCAUUAGAGGAGUUGAGAAAAGCCUCGAGUGGAGAAUAAACACCGGACAGCGUGCCCUCAGGAUGUGAUCCAUAAAACCGACUUAAAAACGGAUUACUUAUUCCAGUUUCUGCACUUCUUUGCUGUAAACAUCCCCGGUGGUUCUACGUAGAUUGUUUGUUUUUAUAUAAAACAAAUUGAUUAGAUUUCACGCCUCCUAAGCAUUGCUCCUGUUUUAUUCCGAUAGAAAAGUUGAUCUGUGUGUGUGGGAAUUUUUAAAAAGUCAUGCAGCUGAAGCUGGCUCUGUCACCGCCGGUGUGGAUGCUGAUGCUGAUGCUGAUGGUGAUGUGCUGCUGGAGUUUGGUCUCCGGUGCGGCGCGCAGUGAAGCGGAGGCUCCUCACGGGGACACGCUGGACUUCGGCUUUGUCCCGGCGGUGGUGUACGAGACACACGCGUACUAUGAGCCCGAAGCCGUGGACAUGCUCUUUCACAUAGUACACGCGUUUCUCUACACGGUACAGCCAAACCCUUUCCCAGCAGACCUCAUUGUCAGGAUUUUGCAACAAAACAUGAAAGGACUUAAACCAGAGGAGCUCCAGAAGCCUGAGAACAUCGUCCUAACGCUUCAGGCCAUUUAUUAUGAGCUGGGCUUCAUCGUGCUGGCAGUGUUGGGCGUCGUGUUCGUGCUGCUGAUGCCGUUGGUGGGUUUGUUUUUCUGCCUGUGUCGCUGCUGUGAGAACUGCGGAGGCGAGAUGCACCAACGGAACCGCAAAAACGCCGACUGCCUACGUGGCUUCUACACCGUCUCGCUCGUCACCUCGUCGCUGGUCAUGGUACUGGGUGUCCUGAUUGCUUACACUGGAAGCCACAACAUCACAUCCCAGAUCAACAACACCAAACGACUCGUCAGCUCCAACAUAAACGACCUGAAAUCACUGGCCAGUUAUACACCUUCGCAAAUCGAUUAUCUGACUGCUCAAUACACAACAGCCAAAAAUAAAGUUCUCUUCGAUCUAGACAACAUUGGGCCGUUGUUGGGUGAGCAGAUACACAACCAGCUAAACAGAGACGUGAUGCCAGCUUUAGACAAUGUACUGCGCAUGGCAGCAGUCAAAGUGGAAAGUGCUAUUAAAGCAAUGCGAGACACUAAGGAGGCUUUAGAGAACGUGAGCACUUCCUUAGAGACGUUACAGGAAGCAACCAGCAAGCUGCGGAGGUCUUUACUGUUGGAGCGCAAUUCGCUUUCAAACACGCUCGGCGAUCCGGUGUGCGGCAGAGGAAACGUCUCACGCACUUGCAGCAACAUCCGCAUUACGUUCGACCGGCUCGCUGUCAGCGCCGACUUCACUGGGCUGCCGGACGUCACUCCUCAGUUAGCAAAUCUAGAGAGUGUGAUGGAGACGGAUCUCAGCUACAUUGUACAGAAGGGCUACUCUGCUUUUAAUGACACUUCCAGGAUAGUGAGCGAACAGACACAAGACAUCAAGGCCAGAGUGAAGGCUUUGUUGGAUAAGUCAGGAGCAGAGAUUACUGCUUUCACCAGUGCGUUCCCAGUGGAAUCAGCGCUGGAGAACUUCACUCGGUUUCUGACAGAAGGACAGAAGAACAUUGAAGCGUUUUACCCACAGAUUGAGCAGUUGGACUUUUACAGGUGGAUAGGGUGUGUGGUGCUGUGCUGCAUGGUUGUGCUGAUCCUGGCUUUUAACCUGCUGGGUUUGAUGUGUGGAAUAUGUGGCCAUGAUAAGAACACUACACCUACAACACGCGGCUGUCUCUCCAACACAGGCGGCAACCUCCUCAUGGCAGGCGUUGGCUUUAGCUUCAUCUUCUCAUGGGUGCUGAUGGGAGUCGUGGUCACCACGUUUGUAACUGGAGGGAAUGUGGAGAAGCUCGUGUGUGAGCCUCUGACCAACAGACAACUGUUUAAGAUUAUAGACACACCAUACAUGGUCCAUCCUGGGAAAAAGAACUUCCUGCCUGGAAUGCUGUUUCAAAACCCAAACAUUGACCUUACCAUCGGCAGCCUGUACAGUGAAUGUUAUGAGAAUAGUGGCAUAUAUUCUGCACUGCAACUGGAGAACCAAUUCCACUUCAUCCAGUUCAUCAACAGGACCGUGAACAGCCAUGAUCUGUCAGACAUAUUUGAAGGGAUAAAUGUAGAUUUGGAAGGAAUAAUCCUGCUGGGGGAAGAUGGAAAAGACAAUCUGAUUAAUUUUGCUAAUUCAGGCCUCGGAGAAAUCGACUAUGAUGCCUUUCUCUCAGAGGUCAAUAAAGGAGUAACUGUUGUAGAUCUUCUCGCCUUUGCCAAUGAAUUGGAGGCCGAGGCCGAUCACCUGCCCCGUGGAGCUCUCGGGAAUGCUCUAAAAGGCCACGCAAGCAGCAUGAGACAGAUCCAUAAAGAACAAGUAGUGCCCAUGGAGCAAGCCAUGAGCUCAUUAAGUCAAAGUAUCAGGUUUCUACAGACUACAGUUGAAGAACUUCCUAGUAAAGUGACUAAUGUGCUGAGUGCCAUCAAUGCAGCUGAGUAUCUGAUCACCAACAACGCCUCACAUGUGGUCAAGAAGGAGACGGAUAAAUACACACACAACCUGAUGGGAUAUCUCAAACAAUAUGUUAUCUGGGUUCAUCUUUCGUUAAUGAUGGAGGUAGCUCAAUGCAAACCCAUCAGUAACGUCAUUGACUCACUGGAGAUUGUGGGCUGCAGUUUUAUAGUAGACUCCGUGAACACAUUCUGGUUCGGUUUGGGUGGCUGCUCUUUGUUCCUUAUCCCCAGUAUCAUCAUGUCUGUCAAACUUGCUAAAUUCUACCGCAGAAUGGACACAGAGGAUGUAUUUGAAGAUCAGGACGCCAAUAUCAUUGGUUAUCUUAGUGGUCGCAUAUGUGGCAUAAUUAACCCCAUGUUGGUCAGUAAACAAUGGCGGAAGCUAAAAGCUCAGAAUUUCAGGAAAACUGAGAUAGAAGAGACCUCACGCAAACGAUGAGACUACACUUGGCACAGAGAACUGGAGUUGAACAGUCCAUCAAUGUAAGAAAACCACAUGCACAUGGAAUGAUUUAGGCCUAAUUUCAUUCCAGAUGAAGAAAAGCGAAGAUGAGAAAGAGAAAGGGAAAUAAUGCAAAAGGAGAUACUGAUUGCUUUUUUAUAAAUAAAGCCAAAUGUUAUCACAUUCUAUAACUAUGAACUAUAUUAAAGAUGUCUUAAUCACUGUAUUCCAUCCUCAACGUUAAAACAAAAACAUACACACAAAACACAAUACAUUUGACCGUCUGAUGCACUGCUUCUUAUAUAUUAUUAACUAUCUUUGGUGUGGAAAAUAUCAUGGCCGUUGUUUUGUUUACUAUAAGAGGCUACAGCUUUUAUAGCAUGUCCCUUUUUAAUAUUUUUUAAACUUAAAACUUUAAAAGCAAUGACUGUGCUUAUAAUUCUUUGUUAACGUUGGUUUUGGAGGUCUACUAACAGUAAAUAGACGUUUUAAAUCUCCUGUAAUGUAUUAUAAUAAAUUUAUUAAUGAGUUAAAAACAUGUUAUAACACCAAUGAAACUCAUUCAGGUUCUGAUACUUUGUUGGAAGCCAUGAUGUUUGUUUAUUCCAAUCCUAAAUUUAUUCAGCAAUCCGGUUCAUUUAAUUGAAUUCUAAUUUCUUGCUAUAAUUUUGGUUGCUUUUUAAAUAUUUAUUAUGUUUAAUAGACUUGCAGAACAGCAUGCUUGUAAGGGGGGGGGGGAUCUAAGAGUUUUUCUAGGCUUUAUGAAUUGUUAUGAUAACGAAUUAUUACCAAAUUCUAAAGAAUUAUAAGCAAAGUCAUAAUUAUUUAUGAACGCAAAGUUCAUUGAGUUUAUGCAACGCAGUCUUUGUCAUUUUCCCGGAAUGAGUUUAAGACAACUUGGAACUUGAAGUAAAUGUUGGUCAGUCAUCUUUCCUAAAUUGUAAUAAAAUUAAACUAGUAAGAGCUCAGUAGAAAUAUGUUUGGCGGCCAUGUUUUAACAAUUUAUAUUUGACAGACAAUAUAAUAUAAUGUGUUCUGUUUUUUUUUUCAAUUCAAACUUUAACUAGUUGAUUAAAAGAAGACAAUAUAAAUUUGAUAAAUAAAAAUGUGUUUUUAAAGAUUCUCAUCUAAACCUAUUUAUAACGUUUGUUUUAUUAUAAUGAAUAAUGAACAGAAUUUCUGUCUAGUUUUAUAGAAAUCAACAGCAAUGUUUGCAUAUUGAGAUUUUUCACUUUUGUAACCAAAAAGCUUAGAUGACCCAGAAUUGCAGAACUAAUCUGACAUAAAGCCUAAAAUGUUUAUUCCGUAAAAAUUUGACUUGUCCUAGCAUACAACUAUCAUUAACAGUUUACAACUGUGUACAAUUCCUUGCGUUUUUUUUUUUUUCCUUGUCUUAAUUUCCAGUGGCUUACUGUAUUUGCUUAUUUAUUUCUCUCAUUUUGAUGGUGGUUUAAUUUGUACUGUAGUUGUUUUCUGAAUUUUGAAACCUUGAUGAAGAUCUUCAUUUUGUAUCACAUCAUUUGCAUCACAUCUAAUGAAGAGUGAAAGUUUAUUUACGUAAACUAUCCCUAAAUAACUUUCACUCAGAAGAAUUUAGAGAACGGAAAUUAUCUGAACGCUGAAUCUGAAAAAGAUGGGGAAUAAAUGAAGUUACAGUUGAAGUGGUAGCUUACAGGUCAGAUUUUAAGGAAAGGUUGUCAUGAUGCUGCUUUCUCUUGAGUCUAAACUGAUGUUAUUCAUCCUUGGAAUGGAUUUUGCCAAAUUAAAACCUGUCAAAUAAUUGAAAGUGACACAGAAUACAAUAUUUCCUCAUGUCCUCCACAGGGGCUCUCAAGCAGUCCUGGCACUUGAACUCACCCUGAAUAUCUAAGCUAUAUAUAUCAUAUCUGUGAAGAUUCAUAUGGAGUUUGUGUAAA